Molecule: non-coding RNA, 3165 nt
Organism: Phalacrocorax carbo (great cormorant)
Lineage: Eukaryota; Metazoa; Chordata; Aves; Suliformes; Phalacrocoracidae
Source: RefSeq, a predicted model, not a curated record
GGGGCUCUGGGAUGCAAAUCACGGCGGUGGUGCUCAGCACACUUUAAUCCUUUGUUCACUUUAGCUGGGCGCAGAUAAUGCAACUAAUUCAAAUGCUUGUCUCUGUGGUGUGAAUUAGCUGGAUGACAGCCUAAAACCUCUCCCCGGCAACAGCGAACCUGCAAAAAAAGGCAGAAGCACAGCUCCUCUCUGUUCCCAGCUGCCCUGUCCAACUCUCGAGGUUCUCCAUUAGAUUGCUGGCUCCCCUCACGCCUCCCUGUGUGCCUGCUCUCCAGUGGGGGCUGCAGACCCCAUGCUUGCGUCCACCUUCUGCCCCUGGCUGCAGGACAGCCUUUACCCGGGGCAGCCCGACCCGCACGGUCACUGCAAGGAGCCCGGAGAUGUGCUGCCAAGCGCCGCAUGGCCUCCUCGCUGCCUCCUGCCUGCAAAAAGGUAAAGGAACGACUUUGGACUUUGUUCCAGCGCUGGCUACACCGAACAACAGCAGCGCCGAAAACCGUGGUUUAACCCUUCCAGGGUCGCUGGGUAGGACGAGCCGUGCAAAGGCGUAGGGGUAGCGCGUGCUUGCGGGCUCCGGUGGGCUCGAUGCUCCCAGGCAACCUGCUCCUGGCGCUGAGCAGGGAACGUAAAGACCGGGGACACCUGCGAGACACAGGCAGCUUUUCACGCGCACGUGAUCAUCUAAUAAUGUUGGGAAUAGGAUUGCAGUCCAUGGCAAUAGCCACACGUGGGUGCCUACCGCGAACAGCGUGUUUUUGUUGGGAGCAGAUGACCCGGUGCAAAGCUGCUUCCCUCUGCCAGCCCGUGCAACGCCUGCGGACGGACGGGUGCCCGACGGGACGAGGGAGAGCGCGCCGGCGGUUUCAGACUUUGUUACAGGCCGGUCACUCUCUGCCCUCAUGAACUAAUUCUCUCUUGUUCAGGUCUGAAUGUUGUUUCUUCUUCCAGUGACCCCCCAAGACACCAGUAUUCAAACCUUCUUGGAUUUCCCUGGCUGGGAUGGAGCAGCCCUACUGGUUGUUAACAGCAGCAGACCAGGAGCGCUCACACGGUGAUUCUCACUGCUUCUUCCGUGCCUCAGUUUCCCCAUCUGUGAUGGGGGACGAGCAGCUGCUGGGCCAAGAGCACCAGGCAGGGGUUGCUGGCUGCUGCCUGCGAGGUCAGGCGGCCCUUUAUGCUGAGAAACACAAGGACAUCUACAUAGCUCACCUCCUCGGAAGAGGGGAAUCCACGCCAAUACAUCUGAGCAGACGCCUUACCUUUGCCUUCUCGCUGGGCUCCUUCACAAUGCCAUUGGUAGAAUUGUUGAGCUCCCUGGACACAACGCAGAGGAAUUCUGCCUGGUCUUCGUUUCCGUAGUUGUAGGAAGAUCCAAUGCUGAUGAGCUGUGCAACAGGAGACAGCCGAGGACUGAAUGGUACAAGGCAGAGAACCUGAAAGGCCACGUGCUCCUCUGAGAACCCAAGCCUGACAGACAAUGAGGCUGCAACAGCUUUUACCACUUCUGGCUUUCCUGCAGGUUUCUGAACUGGUCUUUUUGAUGAUAUUAAGUGACCAGACCCAAAGAGCCCGUGAAGGGAAUGUCUGCUCCGUUCAACUACUGGCACCCAGGCUAAGAUUUAGCAGUAGGCUCUCUCCCUGAUAUGCAGACCUGUUACCAUCUUUCCCAACAUGUCUCAGCAUGCCAAGUGGUGUGAUUUGGGGGGAGGGGAGAAGCAGUGCUGGGCUGCACAGCUGGGGAAAGAACUUGGCAAUAGGCUGCAGCCACAAUGUGCCUCCCAGCAGGGCCCGUUUCAGCAUGGGCCACGUCCCGUGCUGCACCACUGCCACGCUCCUGCUCCGUGACCCCGUCUGGACCAUCUCGCAGCUGGAGGGAGGCUGAACCACUGUGUGAGGUCUAGCCAAAGCAUCGGAUCUGUCUGCCCUGUUCAGGCUUGCUGCCCUUGGGGGUGUCUGAGCUGAAUGCGAGUCCCAGGGGAGGGCAAGAACAGCUCCUGAAGGUGGGAGCGUGCUGGAGCGGGAGAUGCGGGAACCUUCCUGGUGCUUGCAGCAUAGAGGAAGGAGGAGGCUGGCAGGGUCGUCGGUGGUUUGUGCAAAGGUUGUGGAUGGCGGAGGGAGGGGACAGGAAGGAAACACCCUAACGUUUGCCUGUAACCGAUAUCUUGACCCUGUCGUUACAGAUUUGAAAAGCAAGACUAGGAAAGAUGUAAGGGUGCAGAUCCCUGCACAGGGCACUGCCUACAGCCUUUUGGUUUUGGGGGUGUUACGCGCCAUGUGUGAAAGGCAACAUCUGUUCAGUAAGUUUUCAGUCAGCAAAACCUGGGUGUUGGAGGACUGGGAUGCCAUGGAGCAGCAGUGGCUCUUGGUCACAAGAUUUUGCUACCGGCUCAGAGGGGCAAGAGUUUUUGGCCACCUCUCCACUACGCAGUAGGAGUUUUCAGGCAUUACAGAGCAGUUACAUAUAUGAACAAGUGAUGCAGAGGGCUGUUGCUAAUGCUAUGCCUCGCUUCGUGUCAGCACAUUUCCCACAGCAUCCACUUGUACUGAGGCUGGACUGACUGGGAAGACAGCAGAGCUGUAAUCCAGAGCCUAGUCUGCAGUUUCUUAAUAUAGCAUUAACAUGCAGGCCAGCUGGUUUCCAGUUCUCCAUCCUCCUAAAUAAGACAACUGUAUUCAAUUGAAGAAACCAAAUCUGGAACUAAUACCCUACGCAACUUCAGUGACACCUACCCCUGCAAUUGGCUGCGUUACAAAGGCAUCUGCAGGAAGUAUAUUUCUCAUGUCACUCAGCACCUCUUUAGCAAAUGCAGGAGUCAUGGCUUUGACCUUCCAGAAAAGUCACGCUGUGGGUUGGUUUUUUUUUUCAUGCCUCAAUUAAUUUCCUGGAUAAAACUGGUGAAUGUGAUGAAAUGCAGGAAAAGGGAAGAAUUGCUCUGGGAUUUGACAAGGAUACAAGAAGCCCUGACAGGAAAUGGGCUCUCUCCUGGCAGUUUGAGUGAAUUCUGCCUUUCCCUGUCAGUUAUGCUAUGUAAGUGGGCUGCUGCUCAGUUCAGACUGCUUAUUUGGAAGAGAAGAGCAGCGUGAAGUGCAAUUCAAUAGCAAACUCUGCUUAUUCCAUAUCCAUCUUUCAAAGGGAUUCUGUUGUCCUUUGGUAACGGUACCUGU